This 403-nucleotide unclassified non-coding RNA is filed under the name soil metagenome. RNAcentral describes it as "partial contains 5.8S ribosomal RNA, internal transcribed spacer 2, and large subunit ribosomal RNA". The stretch from base 1 to 121 matches the Rfam family "5.8S ribosomal RNA", at positions 35 to 154 of the family's 154-position model. The record is from RNAcentral.
GAUGAAGAACGCAGCGAAAUGCGAUAAGUAAUGUGAAUUGCAGAAUUCAGUGAAUCAUUGAAUCUUUGAACGCACCUUGCGCCCUUUGGCUAUUCCGAAGGGCAUGCCUGUUUGAGUAUCAUGAACACCUCAACUCUCAUGGCUUGCCAUGAUGAGCUUGGACUUUUGGGGGUCUUGCUGGCCUGUGGUCAGCUCCUCUCAAAUGAAUUAGCCUGCCAGUGUUUGGUGGCAUCACAGGUGUGAUAACUAUCUACGCUUGUGGUUUUCCACCAGGUAACCUUCAGUGAUGAAGGUUCGCUGGGGCUCAUAAGCGUCUCUCCUCAGUGAGGACAGCUCUUUGAACGUUUGAUCUCAAAUCAGGUAGGACUACCCGCUGAACUUAAGCAUAUCAAUAAGCGGAGGA